RNAcentral lists this long non-coding RNA (386 nucleotides) under Bos taurus (domestic cattle). RNAcentral's name for it is "long non-coding RNA NONBTAT022883". Lineage: Eukaryota; Metazoa; Chordata; Mammalia; Artiodactyla; Bovidae. The record is from RNAcentral.
ACUGACAAAAUGAGAUUCACAUUAAGAAAUGCUACCCAUACUUAACAUUACCCACUUCAUCUCCCUCUUAAAAUACUUUUCCCAGGUCAGGACUGAACCACAACCCAAACCCACUCACCACAUUUCAAAGUGCAAAGCGGGAAAUGUACCGUAGACAGGGCACAGAGGCAACUGCAUGCCAUGCUGCUUUGACUAUUAAUAAGUUUACCAUAAUUAGAGACCUUAACGUUACCUUAGUUAAAAUUCACAUUCCCUGAAAGUCACUACUAAUUAUGCCCACUGUUACUAUUUUAUUGAUUUAAGAAAAAUUAUUUGCAUGUUAUUAUGGGCAUACCAAAUUCUUCUUCAAUUAUCUCUCCAGUUUAUUCACUCAAAGAAUAUUACAG